GGAAAAGUUGAUAAAUUAGACAUUUUAUAUAUUAUUAUGGGAAGGUGAUUAAAAUACACCAUUUCACAAUCAUUACACAUAAUUAGAGUUACCAUGAUACUACAUUAAUCAUGGCUUCUCUUUCAAUUAUGUACAGUACAUAUUGAAACUACUUUGCAGUUGAAUCUGGUAGGUCAACAGUAAUCCAUCUCAUUAUGCAACAUGGACCGGGGAGCACCCUCUAUCAAGCAAGAGACUGGUGGAAUAGUUAGUGUCUGCAGUUCUCCAUAUGCAUUCCAACAAAAUGGAUCCAAUACUAGGUCUCCUUGAGCAGGAAGAAGCUCAACAUCUGAGAGCGUCAAGUUGGUGCAAGGGACUGAGUCACUGCAGGCAAAAUGCAUUGGCGGGCUUCGAAUGUUGUAGGUUCCUUUUAUAUUUUCAUAGAGAAUAUCCGAUACAAAAACUGCUGAUGUUUGGUUCGUGCAGUCCUUUGUCAGGCAGUAGAACUGGUCUAUUAUAAUUGGAUUCCUUACAUUGUCCAUGUGAAUAUUGCUGAAUGUUAUUCCUGAUACUGCUCCUGAUCCACCUUGCCAUGUCUUGAUCCUAACUCCAUUAUCCGACACUUUUAUCACCGAGUCUCUAACCGUGAUGUUAGAUACACAGGCUCGUGAGUUGUGAUUGCCUAGACUCCCAAUGCUGAUUCCAUGACUAGGUCCACAGGUGACGUUCCUUAUGUCUACAUCAUAACACCCUGACCCGAUCGAUAUGCAAUCAUCACCAUUGGAGAUUACUGAAUCAUAUAUUUCCACAUUAUUGGUGUUCUCUAUGUGAAUUCCAUCAGUGUUGGGACUUAGGGCAGGAGCAGUAAUGUGAAUGGAUAUUAUAUGAACAUUCUUGCAGUUGUCAAAUCUGAAGUUGAAUUGGGGGCUAUUCUUGAUUCUAAGUCCUUGAACAGUCAAGUUGGAGCUCAUAAAGAACCUAAUGGCUAUUGGACUAUCGCAGGAUCCAGGCAAUGUAGUUCCAUUUAUUCCCUUGUGGGGUUUGCAUGGAAGAUCCCACCAUUUCUCUCCUCUGCCAUCUACUGCACCACCUCCUACUAGGGACAUUUCAUUAAUUCGGUAAAAGACCAGCCAUUGUCUCUUACUGUUCUUUUGUGGCCAGGAGUCUGGUCCAUCAGGAGGCGCAAGAGUCCCAUCAACCUGAAAGUGCAGACCACCUUGACAAGGACCUGUGAAAAUUGUAGACUGAAUCAUGAAUUUGAAGCCAUAAGGAACAAGGAUGACUGCAGAAUUAACUUGGCAGGCUGUUUCCCAUGCCAUCUUGAAUGCAUCAGUAUCAUCUGUUAUGCCAUCGCCAACAGCCCCAAAUUUCCGUACAUCAAAAACCCCAGAAUUGUUGUCGCUCCCAUCAUCGGGCGGACUAGCAGGCUCAGGUGAAGGAGUGAGAGACAGAUUAACAGAUUCAGGCGCAGGAGUUGGAGGUUCUGAAAGAUUAGAAGAUUCAGGUGGAGUAGAGGGAGGUUCUGAAGCAUAUUCAGGAGGAGAAGAGGGAGGUUGUGAAAUUGCGGAUACUUUGUGAGAAUGGGUGUGUUUAUGUUUUGUAUGGUAAUGCCACCUAGCUUGAGUGGUGUAAAGGAAGAAGCAAAGAAAGGAAAUGCAGAAAACAAGUAAUGACACACGAGAACAACCCAUUUUGGGCUCAACUUGGAAAAAUUCAGAAACUAAAGAAACGAUGGAGAAUUCUAUUGAAAAUUGCUGGAACUCAAAAUACACCAGUUCAAAAUUGCUUUGUCUCUAUCACUUACUAAAUACUAGAUCAAGAAACUAUAUCUGACAAAGGAAAUGCACCCUAAAUUAUGGGAAGUUGAAAGAAGCAAGCUAGUGGGUUUGUUUUAACGGUUUAAGUGUACAGUGCACUAUGAGCACUAGAGCAACUUGCUAAAGAUUUGGCCUUGGAAUGCAUGCAGAAUCAGAAAGGCUGAAUCCCA
RNAcentral lists this unclassified non-coding RNA (1966 nucleotides) under Hevea brasiliensis (rubber tree). Lineage: Eukaryota; Viridiplantae; Streptophyta; Magnoliopsida; Malpighiales; Euphorbiaceae. The record is from RNAcentral.